RNAcentral lists this small nuclear RNA (20 nucleotides) under Arabidopsis thaliana (thale cress). RNAcentral describes it as "snRNA_16659". Lineage: Eukaryota; Viridiplantae; Streptophyta; Magnoliopsida; Brassicales; Brassicaceae. The record is from RNAcentral.
GGCGCUGUCUACGAGUCGGG